GAUGAACGCUGGCGGCGUGCCUAAUACAUGCAAGUCGAGCGAACAGAUGAGGAGAUUGCUCCUCUGACGUUAGCGGCGGACGGGUGAGUAACACGUGGAUAACCUACCUAUAAGACUGGGAUAACUUCGGGAAACCGGAGCUAAUACCGGAUAAUAUAUUGAACCGCAUGGUUCAAUAGUGAAAGACGGUUUUGCUGUCACUUAUAGAUGGAUCCGCGCCGCAUUAGCUAGUUGGUAAGGUAACGGCUUACCAAGGCAACGAUGCGUAGCCGACCUGAGAGGGUGAUCGGCCACACUGGAACUGAGACACGGUCCAGACUCCUACGGGAGGCAGCAGUAGGGAAUCUUCCGCAAUGGGCGAAAGCCUGACGGAGCAACGCCGCGUGAGUGAUGAAGGUCUUCGGAUCGUAAAACUCUGUUAUUAGGGAAGAACAAAUGUGUAAGUAACUAUGCACGUCUUGACGGUACCUAAUCAGAAAGCCACGGCUAACUACGUG
Molecule: ribosomal RNA, 497 nt
Filed under: uncultured bacterium
Lineage: Bacteria
Description: partial 16S ribosomal RNA
Rfam family: Bacterial small subunit ribosomal RNA
Source: RNAcentral